RNAcentral lists this ribosomal RNA (497 nucleotides) under uncultured bacterium. Its description in RNAcentral is "partial 16S ribosomal RNA". It matches the Rfam family "Bacterial small subunit ribosomal RNA", at positions 28 to 507 of the family's 1533-position model. The record is from RNAcentral.
GAUGAACGCUGGCGGCGUGCCUAAUACAUGCAAGUCGAGCGAACGGACGAGAAGCUUGCUUCUCUGAUGUUAGCGGCGGACGGGUGAGUAACACGUGGAUAACCUACCUAUAAGACUGGGAUAACUUCGGGAAACCGGAGCUAAUACCGGAUAAUAUUUUGAACCGCAUGGUUCAAAAGUGAAAGACGGUCUUGCUGUCACUUAUAGAUGGAUCCGCGCUGCAUUAGCUAGUUGGUAAGGUAACGGCUUACCAAGGCAACGAUGCAUAGCCGACCUGAGAGGGUGAUCGGCCACACUGGAGCGGAGACGCGGUCCAGACUCCUACGGGAGGCAGCAGUAGGGAAUCGUCCGCAAUGGGCGAAAGCCUGACGGAGCGGCGCCGCGUGAGUGAUGAAGGUCUUCGGAUCGUAAAACUCUGUUAUUGGGGAAGAACAUAUGUGUAAGUAGCUGUGCACAUCUUGACGGUACCUAAUCAGAAAGCCACGGCUAACUACGUG